Molecule: ribosomal RNA, 375 nt
Filed under: uncultured bacterium
Lineage: Bacteria
Description: bacterial SSU rRNA
Rfam family: Bacterial small subunit ribosomal RNA
Source: RNAcentral
UACGUAGGGAGCAAGCGUUGUCCGGAUUUACUGGGUGUAAAGGGUGCGUAGGCGGCUCUUUAAGUCGGGCGUGAAAGCUGUGGGCUUAACCCACAAAUUGCGUUCGAAACUGGAGAGCUUGAGUGAAGUAGAGGUAGGCGGAAUUCCCGGUGUAGCGGUGAAAUGCGUAGAGAUCGGGAGGAACACCAGUGGCGAAGGCGGCCUACUGGGCUUUAACUGACGCUGAGGCACGAAAGCAUGGGUAGCAAACAGGAUUAGAUACCCUGGUAGUCCAUGCCGUAAACGAUGAUUACUAGGUGUGGGGGGUCUGACCCCUUCCGUGCCGGAGUUAACACAAUAAGUAAUCCACCUGGGGAGUACGGCCGCAAGGUUGAA